AAUACUUUUUGGAAAAGGUCAGAAUUUAAUUAACUCUAAAACUUGCUCUCGCCCUGAUCUAGAAUUAAUGCCUAACUUACACUGUCCAGUUAAAAUCUCAAACUCUCGCUCUAUUGGUUUUAACUUCUUUAUGUCUUUUACUUUUGUAAAAAAUCUUGUUAUUAAACCUGUAAGUUGAGACCGUAAAAAGAUUGAUUUUGAU
RNAcentral lists this long non-coding RNA (202 nucleotides) under Lathyrus oleraceus (garden pea). Its description in RNAcentral is "Pisum sativum (pea) long non-coding RNA (PSAT_LNC009972)". The record is from RNAcentral. Lineage: Eukaryota; Viridiplantae; Streptophyta; Magnoliopsida; Fabales; Fabaceae.